This 212-nucleotide non-coding RNA is filed under the name uncultured Paludibacter sp. Lineage: Bacteria; Pseudomonadati; Bacteroidota; Bacteroidia; Bacteroidales; Paludibacteraceae. The record is from RNAcentral.
CCUUUGUUGCAAAUAACUGGUUUGAAUUUCCGCUUUCUGCGAAAAAUCAAUUAAAAGGGAAUGCUGUGAAAAUCAGCAACAGUUCCCGCUGCUGUGAGCUCUAUUAUAUGUGCUGAGCAAAAUACCUUUGCCACUGUUCGUUUAUUGAUGAAUGGGAAGGCGCUCAAACACAAGAGUAAGUCAGAAGACCUGCCCGUUAUUAUCGCUUUUUG